UCAGCAUACACAGGGUUUCUGGGAUGCAAAAUGCCCUCUGUAUCUUUCUUUUUGUACUUUCCUUCAUCAGCAAAUGCUGAAUCAAAAUGGGAUGUGCUAGAAGAGCAAAAUCUGGAGGAGGAGGUCAAUGUGAUGAAAUUUCAGGAUGAGCUCGAGUCUGGGAAAAGACCUCGGAAGUGAGGAACGAGUUUCCAGCAGCAAGUGGGACACUAUCAGACUAAGUUGCUACAGAAGGAGUUCGAUAAAAACGAUCGGAACAGGAAGGAAAAGUCCACACAAAAGAGAGAGUAAAGAAAGAUGAGAGGAGGGACAGGAUCGGGAUGGAAACCAAGCCUGGAGCAAAGAUUCAGAUGAGGAGAAGGUUCUGGUGUGUACACAAUGCCACAGAGGAGGCAGCUCUACCUCCCUCUACAGCACGACUCUUUAGCUGCUUACCCCACCAUCUGCGUCAGAUUUUGAAGAACACAAGCUUUCCUGAGAAGGGGAUGGUGAAACUCGACCUAAAGAAGGAAGGUGCACACCAGUGAAGGACAGCCUGCAUAUGUCCUGCUAAUCACAU
This is a long non-coding RNA of Conger conger (European conger), 559 nucleotides long. RefSeq lists it as uncharacterized. NCBI's taxonomy places the organism in Eukaryota, Metazoa, Chordata, Actinopteri, Anguilliformes, Congridae. The record is from RefSeq and is a predicted model, not a curated record. The transcript is spliced from 4 exons.